RNAcentral lists this ribosomal RNA (1221 nucleotides) under metagenome. Its description in RNAcentral is "bacterial SSU rRNA". It matches the Rfam family "Bacterial small subunit ribosomal RNA", at positions 247 to 1465 of the family's 1533-position model. The record is from RNAcentral.
AGUUGGUGAGGUAAUGGCUCACCAAGGCGACGAUCAGUAGCGGGUCUGAGAGGAUGAUCCGCCACACUGGGACUGAGACACGGCCCAGACUCCUACGGGAGGCAGCAGUGGGGAAUUUUGGACAAUGGGGGCAACCCUGAUCCAGCCAUUCCGCGUGAGUGAAGAAGGCCUUCGGGUUGUAAAGCUCUUUCAGCUGGAACGAAACGGUACGCUCUAACAUAGCGUGCUAAUGACGGUACCGGCAGAAGAAGCACCGGCUAACUACGUGCCAGCAGCCGCGGUAAUACGUAGGGUGCGAGCGUUAAUCGGAAUUACUGGGCGUAAAGCGUGCGCAGGCGGAUUGUUAAGCAAGAUGUGAAAUCCCCGGGCUUAACCUGGGAAUGGCAUUUUGAACUGGCAGUCUAGAGUGUGUCAGAGGGGGGUGGAAUUCCACGUGUAGCAGUGAAAUGCGUAGAGAUGUGGAGGAACACCAAUGGCGAAGGCAGCCCCCUGGGAUAACACUGACGCUCAUGUACGAAAGCGUGGGUAGCAAACAGGAUUAGAUACCCUGGUAGUCCACGCCCUAAACGAUGUCAACUGGUUGUUGGGGGAGUGAAAUCCCUUAGUAACGAAGCUAACGCGUGAAGUUGACCGCCUGGGGAGUACGGUCGCAAGAUUAAAACUCAAAGGAAUUGACGGGGACCCGCACAAGCGGUGGAUGAUGUGGAUUAAUUCGAUGCAACGCGAAAAACCUUACCUACCCUUGACAUGUCCAGAAUCCUGCAGAGAUGCGGGAGUGCCCGAAAGGGAAUUGGAACACAGGUGCUGCAUGGCUGUCGUCAGCUCGUGUCGUGAGAUGUUGGGUUAAGUCCCGCAACGAGCGCAACCCUUAUCAUUAGUUGCUACGCAAGGGCACUCUAAUGAGACUGCCGGUGACAAACCGGAGGAAGGUGGGGAUGACGUCAAGUCCUCAUGGCCCUUAUGGGUAGGGCUUCACACGUCAUACAAUGGUCGGUACAGAGGGUUCCAAGCCGCGAGGUGGAGCCAAUCCCAGAAAGCCGAUCGUAGUCCGGAUUGUUCUCUGCAACUCGAGAGCAUGAAGUCGGAAUCGCUAGUAAUCGCGGAUCAGCAUGUCGCGGUGAAUACGUUCCCGGGUCUUGUACACACCGCCCGUCACACCAUGGGAGUGGAAUCUGUCAGAAGUAGGUAGCCUAACCGCAAGGGGGGCGCUUACCACGGUGG